GUCCACGCCGUAAACGAUGAGUGUUAGGUGCUGUGGGUAUUGACCCCCGCGGUGCCGUAGCUAACGCGUUAAACACUCCGCCUGGGGAGUACGGCCGCAAGGCUAAAACUCAAAAGGAAUUGACGGGGGCCCGCACAAGCGGUGGAGCAUGUGGUUCAAUUCGACGCAACGCGCAGAACCUUACCUGGGUUAAAUCCAUACGAACCUUGCAGAGAUGCAGGGGUGCUCUUCGGAGAAUGUAUGAGAAGGUGCUGCAUGGCUGUCGU
This 266-nucleotide ribosomal RNA is filed under the name uncultured bacterium. RNAcentral describes it as "partial 16S ribosomal RNA". It matches the Rfam family "Bacterial small subunit ribosomal RNA", at positions 793 to 1055 of the family's 1533-position model. The record is from RNAcentral.